This 6297-nucleotide long non-coding RNA is filed under the name Sus scrofa (pig). RNAcentral's name for it is "lncRNA (ENSSSCG00000046454.2)". Lineage: Eukaryota; Metazoa; Chordata; Mammalia; Artiodactyla; Suidae. The record is from RNAcentral.
GAAAAGUUCAUUUGUGUCAUAUAUUAGAUUCCAGAUAUAAGUGAUAUCAUAUUGUAUUUCUCUAGAUACUUAAUAAUUAAAAUAAUAUAAAAAUAAUGUACAUAUAUAAAUUUAAAAAUUGUUUAUAAGUACAUUAGAAAAUAACAAGGGAAAAGAGAAGAAUGUGUCUGAGAAAGUAAAUGAAAACCAAAAAAUGAAAAAAGAAAAGCUGUCUGUUCAGAGCCUGUUACUGUCCCUUGUAUUUGACAGACACUCAAAGGCAAGUAUAGGAGUAGGCAAAAUACUUACAGAGAAAAAAAAGUAAGCCUGCAUGUACUCAGAGGUGCCCUGAUUGGAGGCUGCUGACACAGAGGUGCUGUAGACAGGCUAACUAGACAUAAGAAACCCUGGGUGACCGGUUAGGGGAACAUAAUGGCUUUGUUGGGUUGAUCUUAAGUUGGAAGUAAGGAAAAAAUUAGGGAAGCUGUCAGAUAUUAAUCCAGUCCUGGCCAUGUGGGGCCAAUUGCUCCAGAAGUUAUUGUUUGGCUUCUUGGAUUGUUGCUAGAGAUUGCAAUCUGAACUUCUUAAUGUCUGACUUAGGGCAGACAUUAAGAAGUCUGCCCUAAGAUUGCUGGUUGAGUGGAUAAUACAAGAAAUAAUUCCCAUAUAUGUUAGUCCUUAAGCUAUAGCCAAAGAAAAAAUCAGCAAUUAGAUCAAACUAAGUUUGUCACUGUUUGCUGGGUGGGGCAUUACCUAGGUAAAAUUUCAAGAAAGAGCAGAGUGAGAGGGCUCAAAAAUUCGAAUACUCUGUUAAAUACAUUACACAUUUAUGUUUCCUGGCCUUUAAAUCUUCUUAAACUUACCCAUUCUUUUUUUUUUUUUUUAAGAAAAUGAGGAUUAUAGCUUUUUGGCAAUACCCUACUCCAGGCAAAGACCCUUGGAAAAACUUGCCAAACCCUAGAUAUUUCCCCAAAGGCAAGAGAGGGAUAUGAUCUUCCAUCCAUCCUGUGAAGUUAGGGUGUUGCUCAGCCCUUUUCUCCACUAAAAGCAGUAUCAGUGGGGUCUGGGGAAGGGCUGAGUCCCCAUCCUUGGCAAGAUAGGCGGAUGAGGUGGUGUGAAUCAGGGCCAAUGUUUCUCUGUUACUGUUCCUUCCCUUCUGGGUGUCAUCAUAGUCCAUGGCAGAGCUGAUCUUGCAUCUGCACUUGGGGGUAUAUGGGCCUUGUGAGUCACUGCUCCUCUAUUGCUGGGGUCCUGUCAGCAGGGUCUGGUGGUGGGGGGACCCCUUCCCUCUAGACUAAAUAUCAGAGGCACUGGCUUCUGAAAAAGAGUCUUAUCCUGCAAGUACAACAAAACAUCAUGCAUCACACUCAGAACCAGGAAAAUGAGUAAGGGAAAAAGGAAAACCAGUAGCCAUCGAUGCUAUGGUGAACCCAGUGUUGGAAUCAUCUGACAAGGAUUUUAAAACAGUCAUCAUCAAAAUGCUUCAACAAGUAAUGGUGAAUAUUCUAAAAUAAAUUAAAAAACUGAAACUUUGAGUGAAGAAAUGGAAGUUAUAAAUAGGAACCAAAUGGGAGUUAUAGAACUGCACUAAAUAAAAACAAAUAAAAUAUAUGUAUAUCAACCUUCCUGGGUGUACUCAACAGCAGGAGCUGAGAUAAAAAAAAAAACACAGAAUCAAUGAUUUUAGGUUAGGUUAAUAGAAUUUACACAAUAUGAAUAGCAUUGUCAAAUGAAAGACAAAUCUGGCUCUGGUAAAGGAAGAGCUUUUGGGGAAAGAAUAUUUAUUGCAAGUGGAGAGGAGACCAUUGCUAGAGGGUGAAGGCUCUGGCCAUGGGAUCAGGAAGCAUCUCGAAGUUAAGGCACACAUGGUAGUCUUUUAUAUACAGCCAUACACACAGGUGGAAGGAGCUGGGUGUUGGGAUGUGGGAUGAGCAGGAGAUGCUCUGAUGGAAUCCUGGAUCAGAAUCCAUCUGACCUGAAGGCAGCCUGCCCUCUGGAGCCAUGUUCCAUGGACCAGGCAUAAGGAGAACCCAGUGUUUUUUUCAGGUGCAUUUUGUUCUGACUGAUCAGAGGGCACAAGCAAGUCAGCUAAUCAUUUAUGAGACAACGAAUGAGAAUUUGUCUGGAUCUACCCUAGUUUCAGGCAAACAGAAAGGAGUCUUAUCUGGAUCAAAUGGGGAGGGGCAGUUCUUUUCUCUAAGCUAUUUCCAAACACAAAAGGUUCAGGGGAUUUCUUAACUUUCCACUGUUUUUCAGAAUCACAGACUUCUGACAAUUUAACAUCAACAAGAGUUCCAGGGGCCCAGGGAACAAUAACAAAGAGCUAACAUUCGUACUGUCAACAAAGUUGUCAGCAGAAGACAUAGGAUAGACAGAGAGAGAGACAUUGGAAAAUAUUCAAAUAAAUGACUAAAAAAAUCCCCCAGUUUGGUGGAAACAUAAGCCUACAGAUUCUAAAAAUAUGGAGGGUACCCCAAAUAGGAUAAACCAAAAAACAAAAGUCAUCUGAAAAUUGAAGACAAACAGUUUUGGAAGCAGCCAGUGCAUCAGUUGUAGGGUAACAGCCAUUCCUGAGACAGAGGUUUCUCAUAUGAAACCACAGAGCCCAGAGGGAAGUGGUGCUAUAUUCUUAUGCAACUGAAGGGAAAGAAUUGUCAACAGCACAGUCUAGGUUAUGCCAAAAUAUGUUCAAGAAGGGAAGGGGAAUGAGGAACUUCUCUGACAGGAGUAACUAAGGAUCUGUCCUGAGCAAAACUCUCUUUACACAAUGGCUCCCAGAAGUUCCUUAAACCGGAAGAAAGUUGUAACAGAAAGAUGGAUGCUUCAGAAAGAAAGGAGCACAUCAGAAUGGGUGAAAAACAUCAGUAAAUUUAAUACUGCCAUAGUCUCCUGCUAAAAUCAUAUUUAUGGUUGAAGCAAAUUUAAGUCCCUCUAAUGUGACACCAUGUACACGGAAGAGGUACUUAAGACAAUUAUAUUUAAAAUGGCAGGGGAGCGAAGGCACAGUUAUAUAAGUUUUUUGAAGACAGAGGCUAUAUAUUAAAUAUUAUUGACGCUAUAUAAUCUAGAUUGAAGUGCCAAGUGACUACUUGCAAGAUCAAGACGUAGUAUUAUAGUUAAGGAGUUGUCUUGUUGAUGUUGUCAGAAUGCUGCUCUUUAUGAUUGAGCAGGGGUUUCUGCUAAGGGGGCAGGUUUCGUUGAUGUACAAUUCAGGUACACAGCGCACGGGGCGGGGGGGAAACAGGAGGUCGAAGUGCAGAGAAAAAAAUUAUUUUAAUUUUUCCUGUCUUGCCAUAGUAAUGGGAGUUUGAUUUCACAAUGUCAAUAGACUGGGACAAGUCACACUAGAUAUAUUGCAUAUGCUACAAUUUCUAAAGUAACAACUUAAAAAAUUAUGCAAAAUGAUGCAUUCCAAACAUUUUUAUUUUGGUAAUAAGCUCUGUCACAAAAGGGCUGUGCUAAAAUGGGAAUAUUAUUGGGGAAUUUCUUAGAAACUAAGAAUUUGGCUUGUCAAUUUGAACAUGUGACUCAUGAUUUGUUUGUGUGUGGACGUAAGAUUUACAUUUUAGCUUCAAAAUUUGAUAACAAUGUUAUAGUGAAUAUGUUAAUUUUUUUCUCAUCUGUAAGAUUGAAUUUAGAUAUUAUAUGCAGUAUUAAAAUGAUUGUUUUCCCUAUUAUUUAUAGCUGUUGAUAUUUUCACAUCAUCAUACAAGCCCCAGAUUUACUUCCUUUUUAUAUUUCCAAGCCACUGGAGAGCCUUUUCUAAGCAACCAUAAAACAAAUAACAUUAAGCUAUUCUAAGGGAUUUCCUGUCUCACUUGACCACAUAACAUAACAUGCUAAAUAAAUAUAAUGCACUUAUUGUAUCUCAAGAAGAUAAAUAAUUAGUGUUUUGGUGAAUUAACAUAGGCCUUGCACCUAACCAGAAUUUUAGACAGACACUAAGAACUGAACUUAACCUCUCAGAAACCCCACACCUGCUUGGAAAAGAAUUGAAUUAUCUGAUGUGUGCAAAGUAUCCCCUGGCAUAAAUGAAGCUAAGAAAGGACUAGUCAUUACAAAAAGGACACAGGUAUAAAUAGUACAGGUGUGAAGGCUGGCAUCAAGUGAGUAAUCAUUUACUGUUACGCAUUUAAAACAUUUUUAGUUUUAGGAUUUCUUUUACACUAUGUCGGAGCGUUAGUAGAUGACUACAUAGGAACAUAUAUGACAUUCUUUCAGAAAGAAACAAAGAGAAGUGAUCUUUUGAUGUUCUCUGGUUGGUUUUUGCCAUACUAUUUUCCUGGCUAUAAUAUAACCAUCAAAUAAAUUGGCCGUGAAAUCCCAUUGAUUUCCAAAAGAGGGAAACUUAACAGUUUCAACCUUCACUUGUCAACUCUGGUUUUAUGACUAUUCUGUAGUCAUGACAUUCAAAUGGACAGUCUCAGAAUCUGCCUUGUUUUGUUUGGGGGCAUCUCCAAUCAGCCUAAGAAAUACAAACAUGCACACGCACACAUACACACAGACACAGAAGAAAACUCCAAAAGCUUCCCAGCAUUUUUGUGAAACCCAUUAUAGAUUGCUUUUUGGAAACAGAAAUUCUUAACUUACAAAAACAUAUCUAGAGAAUUGUCUUCAUUAGUGAGAAGAACAUUUUCUAGAAGAGAGAGGAAGAUAUUUCAAAGAGGAAGUCAUCUCUUGGCCAAGAACAUGAAGGUCUCAGAUAUACUAACCCUACCUUUUACCAUUUUUCACGUUGGCCUCUGCUGAAAAUAAAGCAUUUUUCAAACUUAUUCAUAUCAUUAGACAUUACACAUAGCACACAGGCAAGGACACACACCCCACAAAAUAUACCCAACACACACAUGCACACACGCAUGCACACACACACACACCCUGCACCUUAUACAGCAAACACCACAGCACACACACCCUGUGAACCAUACACAAAAACACAACACACACUGUACACAGCACAGCACAUCCAUGGUCAGAAAUCACUUUACCUCCUGAACCACAGAGAAGUGGUACUGAGUUAGAAAGAUAUGCCCUUGUGUUCCAUUUAUAAAUAAUGUGGCUUUACCUGUUUUGCCACAUACUUUCAAUUUUGUCACUUUUCUGAAUGUAAAGGAAAGGGGCAGGAUGAUAAAUACACAAGGGAGUGGACAGGGGGCUGGGUGUUUUUUUUUUUUUGGUGUUAUUGUUUUGUUUUUGCAUAAUGAUAACAUUUUUAAAUCCAGAGAUGAGUGUUAUAUACUAAAAUUUAGAGAAAUGAGGUCUCCCACAGUGCUCAGGCAUGAGGUUGAUAAGAUUCUCUUCCUAGCCUGCCUGAGCUUUUACAAUGAGACUGAACAUAUUUCUGUUCCAUCCACUAUUCCUUUGAAUGAAGGCAGCAUUUUGAGAAUUUCAGGCUCUGGAACUAAGACUGUAAAGAGGUUAAGACAGUAGAAAUGGUGAUAAGAAGAGAAUGGAGCCGACUUUUUUACUUUCAGAUCCAUCAUCACAUGUCUAAAAUUAGGGAGGUCAGUGGUAAGUGGAACUGCUGUAUAUUACUUGUGGUAUCCUGUGCUGAAUGCAAUCUUUGGAGAACACUUCAGCAUUUUAUGCCAGACAACUUUAAGAAGUUUUAAAAUUUAACCAAGUAAUCUUUCUUCUAGGAAUUGACCAUAACUAAAUAAAAUUUAAUUUUUUAAAUUACAUGUUUAAAUAUGUCUUCAAUAUUUUAAAAUAAUUCUUAUGAAUAGCAAGGGAACUGCAUUCAAUGUCCUGUGAUAAACCGUAGUGGAAAAUAAUACAUAAAAUUAUAUAUAUAUGUGUAUAUAUGUAUAACUAAAUCAUUUUGUGCAGCAGAAAUCAACACAACAUUAUAAAUCAAUUCUAGGAGUUCCCGUCGUGGUGCAGUGGUUAACGAAUCCAACUAGGAACCAUGAGGUUGCGGGUUCGGUCCCUGCCCUUGCUCAGUGGGUUAACAAUCCGGCGUUGCCAUGAGCUGUGGUGUAGGUUGCAGACGCGGCUCGGAUCCCGAGUUGCUGUGGCUCUGGCAUAGGCUGGCAGCUACAGCUCCGAUUAGACCCCUAGCCUGGGAACCUCCAUGUGCCGCGGGAGCGGCCCAAAGAAAUAGCAAAAAGACAAAAAUAAAUAAAUAAAUAAAUAAAUAAAUUCUAAUAAAAAAUCAAAAGUAACUGUCCAUAGUCCUGAAGAAUAGUAAGACAUCUAAAUGUUCAGUGAUACAAAAUGGUUAAGACAAUUAUGGUAAAUCCACAGAAUAUUGUAUCAUGAAACCAUUCAAUAUCUCUGAAUAUUAUGUAGCUGUGUGAACAUGAUUCUGCAAUACAAUUU